CGUCUGUGGGAGGGUCGGAUAGAGUCAAAACAAUCGCGUCGCUUGCUCUUGCGACGCGCUCUGGACCUUCGCGGCCGUAAAAUCCGGCGCUCACCGAAUCGCUCGCUCGGCGGUUUGCGUGUUGCGCCCGGUGGCCCCGUGGUCUUAAGCACAAGCCGCGCCGUUGUCCGUGUUCGUCUCGGGACGUCCGSGACGCCGCCUUGCUCUCGGCGGCGGCCAAAUUUCCUCUCCGUCACCGCUAKGCGGGACCCGGCUCGCUCUCGCUAACGGGCCCGCUUAUAACCAGCUUCAGGGUGACGGGCGGAGGAGAGAAGCUUACGSUGACGCUCGAUCGACGAGUCGGCGCCCGUACGAAAAAAAUUGGAAAAAAAAUAACCGUGCGUUGCGCGUUAUUUUUUUUUUCCUUUCUUUCCGACCUCAGAUCGGACGAGAUUACCCCCUGAAUUUAAGCAUAGAAA
This 458-nucleotide unclassified non-coding RNA is filed under the name Ampullaceana balthica. RNAcentral's name for it is "sequence contains ITS1, 5.8S rRNA gene, ITS2". The record is from RNAcentral. Lineage: Eukaryota; Metazoa; Mollusca; Gastropoda; Lymnaeidae.